GACGAACGCUGGCGGCGUGCUUAACACAUGCAAGUCGUACGGUAAGGCCCUUUCGGGGGUACACGAGUGGCGAACGGGUGAGUAACACGUGAGUAACCUGCCCACAACUUUGGGAUAACGCUAGGAAACUGGUGCUAAUACUGGAUAUGUGCUCCUGCUUCAUGGUGGGGGUUGGAAAGCUCCGGCGGUUGUGGAUGGACUCGCGGCCUAUCAGCUUGUUGGUGGGGUAGUGGCCUACCAAGGCGGCGACGGGUAGCCGGCCUGAGAGGGUGACCGGCCACAUUGGGACUGAGAUACGGCCCAGACUCCUACGGGAGGCAGCAGUGGGGAAUAUUGCACAAUGGGCGCAAGCCUGAUGCAGCAACGCCGCGGGCGGGAUGACGGCCUUCGGGUUGUAAACCGCUUUCAGCAGGGACGAAGCUUUUUGUGACGGUACCUGCAGAAGAAGCACCGGCUAACUACGUG
Molecule: ribosomal RNA, 465 nt
Filed under: uncultured bacterium
Lineage: Bacteria
Description: partial 16S ribosomal RNA
Rfam family: Bacterial small subunit ribosomal RNA
Source: RNAcentral